Molecule: long non-coding RNA, 658 nt
Organism: Leopardus geoffroyi (Geoffroy's cat)
Lineage: Eukaryota; Metazoa; Chordata; Mammalia; Carnivora; Felidae
Exons: 3
Source: RefSeq, a predicted model, not a curated record
UGCCCUUCCGAUCUGCCAUUUCUUUGCAGUUUCUCCCAGUAAGAGGUGUAGUCUGUUUUGCCACUCCUCGAAUCCAGGCCAGUCAUAUGAUUUGCUCUGACCAAAAGAACUUAGCAGAAGUGAUGUCUUACCAAUUCUGGGCCUAGGACCCAAGAAGCCUUCUAGCUUCACUCACUCUCUUGGCACUCUGACGCCAUCUAAAUAAGCCUGAGCUGACCUGCUGGAGAGACCACACAGGGGAGGACUAAGCCAACCAGGCAACAGCCUGCCAAAUGCCCGACAAGUGAAUAGGGCUAUCUUAGACCAUCCAGCCCCAUCCAAGGUUAACAGCUGACUGCAUGCAGCCUCAGGAGUGACCCUGGGCGAGACCAGAACUGUCCACAUGUGCCCAGCCUAACCUGCAAACCCACAGAACUACAGGCAAAUGAAUGAUGUGCUUUUAGCUGUCAAGUCUGGGGAUGGUUUGUUACACGGCAAAGACUAACUGAUACACAACUCCUCACUUCUCUCUUGGUAAUGGGAUUCCAACUUUAUUUCAGGAACCAGUGCGCCAGUCCCAGGAGAUGGGAUAUGAAGGGUCUCCUCAAUAUGACAGUUCUGUCCCCUGCCAUCUAAACUUUCUUUGCAGCCAGGGGUGGGAAUGGUAGCCGGUUUGGGC